AGGGAGCGGCCGCGGGGACGGCCUUGCGCAUGCGCUUAGCCGCAGCGGGCGGGACGAGGCCUGGAAUGUUGACGCCCGUGCACUUGCUGGGAGGGGCACUGACGUAACCUUAUAAAUGAGUGUUUUCUCCUCAAGUGUAGUGUUUACAAGGAGAUAUAGGAGCUUAUAGACGGCACUGGCUGAUGACAACUGAUCCUGUUUCUCCACUGUGUCGCCGCCCCGGAAGAGUAACUGACUGCAGAGGACUGGACUGAAGCACUGUCUGCCUACCUGGUGAGCUCCAUGGCUGCUGUCAUUACCUCAUCUCUUGCUGGUGAUGAAACCACUCAGUGGCCCAACCCAUUACUCUCUUUUCUCAUGGUUGGAGAGGGGCCCUGAAUAUUGAGAGCAGCUGUUGACCCGAAGCCAAUUGUUCCUUGUUCCAUGUGGAUAUUUCCACCUGUGCCCACCCUCUGAUAACUAUAAAAAGGUGGGACGAGAAGUGAUUGGGGUCGCAGAGUCUCCCCUUGCUUGGAAGGGUGUCGGCGGCCUUCAGCGGCCUAAGCUUAAGCGUCCUAAUAAAGGCUCUUGCUAUUGCAUGUGA
Erinaceus europaeus (western European hedgehog) is the source of this 583-nucleotide long non-coding RNA. RefSeq lists it as uncharacterized. The record is from RefSeq and is a predicted model, not a curated record. The transcript has 3 exons. Lineage: Eukaryota; Metazoa; Chordata; Mammalia; Eulipotyphla; Erinaceidae.